AGCAGCCGCGGUAAUUCCAGCUCCAAUAGCGUAUAUUAAAGUUGCUGCAGUUAAAAAGCUCGUAGUUGAAUUUCGGGACCGAUAUAUCGGUCGUGCCUCGGUACGUACUGGUAUUUUCGGUUUCUACCUUCUGACGAACCUUGAUGUCAUUAAUUUGGUGUCUUGGGGAAUCAGGACUGUUACUUUGAAAAAAUUAGAGUGUUUAAAGCAGGCUCACGCUUGAAUACAUUAGCAUGGAAUAAUGAAAUAGGGCGUUUGAUUCUAUUUUGUUGGUUUCUAGGAUCGACGUAAUGAUUAAUAGGGAUAGUUGGGGGCAUUAGUAUUCAAUUGUCAGAGGUGAAAUUCUUGGAUUUAUUGAAGACUAACUACUGCGGAAGCAUUUGCCAAGGAUGUUUUCAUUAAUCAAGAACGAAAGUUAGGGGAUCGAAGACGAUCAGAUACCGUCGUAGUCUUAACCAUAAACUAUGCCGACUAGGGAUCGGAUGAUGUUAAUUUUUAAUGACUCAUUCGGCGCCUUACG
This 520-nucleotide ribosomal RNA is filed under the name uncultured Glomus. RNAcentral's name for it is "SSU rRNA". It matches the Rfam family "Eukaryotic small subunit ribosomal RNA", at positions 569 to 1092 of the family's 1831-position model. The record is from RNAcentral. Lineage: Eukaryota; Fungi; Glomeromycota; Glomeromycetes; Glomerales; Glomeraceae.